Molecule: ribosomal RNA, 494 nt
Filed under: uncultured bacterium
Lineage: Bacteria
Description: partial 16S ribosomal RNA
Rfam family: Bacterial small subunit ribosomal RNA
Source: RNAcentral
GACGAACGCUGGCGGCGUGCCUAAUACAUGCAAGUAGAACGCUGAAGGAGGAGCUUGCUUCUCUGGAUGAGUUGCGAACGGGUGAGUAACGCGUAGGUAACCUGCCUGGUAGCGGGGGAUAACUAUUGGAAACGAUAGCUAAUACCGCAUAAUAGUAGAUGUUGCAUGACAUUUGCUUAAAAGGUGCAAUUGCAUCACUACCAGAUGGACCUGCGUUGUAUUAGCUAGUUGGUGGGGUAACGGCUCACCAAGGCGACGAUACAUAGCCGACCUGAGAGGGUGAUCGGCCACACUGGGACUGAGACACGGCCCAGACUCCUACGGGAGGCAGCAGUAGGGAAUCUUCGGCAAUGGACGGAAGUCUGACCGAGCAACGCCGCGUGAGUGAAGAAGGUGUUCGGAUCGUAAAGCUCUGUUGUAAGAGAAGAACGAGUGUGAGAGUGGAAAGUUCACACUGUGACGGUAUCUUACCAGAAAGGGACGGCUAACUACGU